This 505-nucleotide ribosomal RNA is filed under the name uncultured bacterium. RNAcentral describes it as "partial 16S ribosomal RNA". It matches the Rfam family "Bacterial small subunit ribosomal RNA", at positions 30 to 523 of the family's 1533-position model. The record is from RNAcentral.
AUUGAACGCUGGCGGCAUGCCUUACACAUGCAAGUCGAACGGCAGCAUGAUCUAGCUUGCUAGAUUGAUGGCGAGUGGCGAACGGGUGAGUAAUACAUCGGAACGUGCCCUGUAGUGGGGGAUAACUAGUCGAAAGAUUAGCUAAUACCGCAUACGACCUGAGGGUGAAAGUGGGGACCGCAAGGCCUCAUGCUAUAGGAGCGGCCGAUGUCGGAUUAGCUAGUUGGUGAGGUAAAGGCUCACCAAGGCGACGAUCAGUAGCUGGUCUGAGAGGACGAUCAGCCACACUGGGACUGAGACACGGCCCAGACUCCUACGGGAGGCAGCAGUGGGGAAUUUUGGACAAUGGGCGAAAGCCUGAUCCAGCAAUGCCGCGUGUGUGAAGAAGGCCUUCGGGUUGUAAAGCACUUUUGUCCGGAAAGAAAUGGCUCUGGUUAAUACCUGGGGUCGAUGACGGUACCGGAAGAAUAAGGACCGGCUAACUACGUGCCAGCAGCCGCCGUAA